RNAcentral lists this ribosomal RNA (497 nucleotides) under uncultured bacterium. Its description in RNAcentral is "partial 16S ribosomal RNA". It matches the Rfam family "Bacterial small subunit ribosomal RNA", at positions 28 to 507 of the family's 1533-position model. The record is from RNAcentral.
GAUGAACGCUGGCGGCGUGCCUAAUACAUGCAAGUCGAGCGAACAGACGAGGAGCUUGCUCCUCUGACGUUAGCGGCGGACGGGUGAGUAACACGUGGAUAACCUACCUAUAAGACUGGGAUAACUUCGGGAAACCGGAUCUAAUACCGGAUAAUAUAUUGAACCGCAUGGUUCAAUAGUGAAAGACGGUUUUGCUGUCACUUAUAGAUGGAUCCGCGCCGCAUUAGCUAGUUGGUAAGGUAACGGCUUACCAAGGCAACGAUGCGUAGCCGACCUGAGAGGGUGAUCGGCCACACUGGAACUGAGACACGGUCCAGACUCCUACGGGAGGCAGCAGUAGGGAAUCUUCCGCAAUGGGCGAAAGCCUGACGGAGCAACGCCGCGUGAGUGAUGAAGGUCUUCGGAUCGUAAAACUCUGUUAUUAGGGAAGAACAAAUGUGUAAGUAACUAUGCACGUCUUGACGGUACCUAAUCAGGAAGCCACGGCUAACUACGUG